Molecule: transfer RNA, 74 nt
Filed under: Branta canadensis (Canada goose)
Lineage: Eukaryota; Metazoa; Chordata; Aves; Anseriformes; Anatidae
Description: tRNA-Trp
Rfam family: tRNA
About the family: Transfer RNA (tRNA) molecules are approximately 80 nucleotides in length. Their secondary structure includes four short double-helical elements and three loops (D, anti-codon, and T loops).
Source: RNAcentral
GAAACUUAGGAUAACACCCCAUAAACCGAAGGCCUUCAAAGCCUUAAAUAAGAGUUAGACCCUCUUAGUUUCUG